UGAACGCUAAGAGGUCAGGGGUGGUGUUUUCUUCUGGCUAACCAAGCAUGGUUAAUAAAAUCUGUCGCAGAUCACAAAAGGACUCUUUCUUCAUAAAUAAGGAGACAAACAAAACAGUGAGUGGGCUUUUUGUUGUUAUAUGUUGAGAAGACAGCAAAAUGCUCCUUUUUACUGCUCAGCUUAAACGUAUUCAUGUAUAAAUACUGUGUAAUGUAAAGAAGUGGUCCCAGUUUGUGCUUAUCUGCCCCACUUCUGGGCUCGCUGGAGAUGCAGAUGAGAUGCUUCCAGCUGGUUUCAGCUAUAAGCGACACCCAUCCUGGAUUAUGUCACAGGGUUCGGAGCGUCUUCAGAUGGAGACCUCAGUUAAUGACAUGAUGGACCUGCCGUCUGUCUGAAGUAAUGAACUGAUUUUAAUAGAGCGCGUUUCUCCCAGAGAACUCAAAGCUCUUCAUACAACAUGCCACAGUCACCCCAGCACUGCUCUCUAUGCUUCGAGGGCUUUCUGACUAACAUUCACACACAUCCAUACGACCAACUGGCCCAAGGAUAUUUGGCAUGCAGACAAGGGGAACCAGGGAUUGAACCACCAACCCUCCGAUCAGCAGAUGAUCUGACCAGAGGGUAAAUGGAGAGCUCCUCCUCCUGUGUCUGUGCUGUUUCUGUCAGGCUUCUAUCAAACAGCCUGAGUCUGUAACCUUUGUUAUAAAGACCAACACUUGUGCAGGAUCGUAUGUCCUGUUUCCCCUUUC
Long non-coding RNA from Astatotilapia calliptera (eastern happy), 749 nucleotides. Lineage: Eukaryota; Metazoa; Chordata; Actinopteri; Cichliformes; Cichlidae. The record is from Ensembl.